AAAUGAAAUUUAUAAUUCUACAGCCUGCGUUUUCAAAUAACGCUGCACCCAAGCACUCCCAGGCAGCUGUAUUUCUGUAUUGCUUUCGUUGUGGCUUGUAUCACUGUGGAGCGAUCUGAGAAGAUCUGAAUGUGUGGCAAGAAAGACCAUUCUGUACCGACAUAUCCUCCGAUUUGACCAGGAAAAAGAUCGUCAUAACAAUAAUUGUCUUGACAUUACAAGGGAUUUGACCAAUAAUUUAAAAAAAUCUCAUCGGACCAACGUAGCUUGAUUUUAACCAAGGAUAAAUAAAUAGGCAGAUUCGACCGAUGUUAGAAACGAUUCAACCAGGAAUGAUAAACAAUAAUCUUGGAUUGACAUCAAAAGCGAUUUGACCAGGUAUAAAAGACAUAACAAACAAGCGACUUGUCAAGGGAUAGAAGUUAAUCUUGGUCCAAUAUCAAGCGUUUUGACAAGAAGCCUGUAUGGGUGUAAGCGCUGCUCCACGAGACAUCGAUAGGCGCGUGACAAGCGAAACGACGGACAGCGAAGUGUCGGAAUCGACCACCAUGUGGUGCGGUACAGAGCGAGGAAGGGAGCGGCUCCGUUCCGAAAGUGACGGCUCCGUCUUCGAGGAGGAGUACAGGAUACUGGUGCUGGGAGCAAGAGGAGUCGGGAAAACAGGUCAGCUGCAAUGAGUUAAUUAAUCCUCUCUUACCUGAGGGGUUGGAAGGAAUAUGGUCGAACUUGCUCUAAAGGUCUACUGCCCAAGACAACCACCCUUACAGACGACCACUUCCGACUUGCCUCAAUGUAUUUUGUUUUUGUUUUUCCUUUAUUAUAUUUUUUAUGUAUACCGAUACUAUCCCAGGUGACCUCGGUAGCCUUGUGGUUUGGCUACCGGACUCGUAGUCGUGAGAUUGCGGGAUCGGGGACUUGAGCGUUUUGUCCUUUGGAAGAAGAAAGGCACUUUACUCGAAUUUCCUACUUGGCUCGUCCCUUUCAGGGAUGGCCGUUAAACUCGGAGGUCUCACCUCUUAAAUGAUCUAACAGUGUUAAAAAGGGGCGUUAAACCUAUACCAUUUUCCACACUAUCCCAUAAAGUCCAUCCACUUGUCUAAGACAGCCACUUUUCUCUUCGAUACUGGGUGACCAUCUAGGACUUUGUUGACUGUAGUUCUAA
Aplysia californica (California sea hare) is the source of this 1162-nucleotide long non-coding RNA. RefSeq lists it as uncharacterized. NCBI's taxonomy places the organism in Eukaryota, Metazoa, Mollusca, Gastropoda, Aplysiida, Aplysiidae. The transcript has 2 exons. The record is from RefSeq and is a predicted model, not a curated record.